Molecule: microRNA precursor, 127 nt
Filed under: Myotis davidii
Lineage: Eukaryota; Metazoa; Chordata; Mammalia; Chiroptera; Vespertilionidae
Description: mir-9193 microRNA precursor family
Rfam family: mir-9193 microRNA precursor family
Source: Rfam by way of RNAcentral
CAUGCACUGGUGGGGUCCCUCGGCCUGGCCUGCGCCCUCUGGCAAUCCGGGACCCCUUGGGGGAUGUCGGACUGCCAGUUUGGGCCCAAUUCCCACAGGCCAGGCCGAGGGACCCCACCAGUGCACA